Molecule: transfer RNA, 72 nt
Filed under: Ovis aries (sheep)
Lineage: Eukaryota; Metazoa; Chordata; Mammalia; Artiodactyla; Bovidae
Rfam family: tRNA
About the family: Transfer RNA (tRNA) molecules are approximately 80 nucleotides in length. Their secondary structure includes four short double-helical elements and three loops (D, anti-codon, and T loops).
Source: Rfam by way of RNAcentral
UCCCUGAAGGUCCAGUGGUUAGGAUUCAGCUCUUUCACUGCCAUAGCCCAGGUUCAAUCCCUGGUUGGGGAA